Molecule: ribosomal RNA, 472 nt
Filed under: uncultured organism
Description: partial 16S ribosomal RNA
Rfam family: Bacterial small subunit ribosomal RNA
Source: RNAcentral
ACACUCCUGCGGGAGGCAGCAGUGGGGAAUAUUGCACAAUGGGCGCAAGCCUGAUGCAGCCAUGCCGCGUGUAUGAAGAAGGCCUUCGGGUUGUAAAGUACUUUCAGCGGGGAGGAAGGCGAUAAGGUUAAUAACCUUGUCGAUUGACGUUACCCGCAGAAGAAGCACCGGCUAACUCCGUGCCAGCAGCCGCGGUAAUACGGAGGGUGCAAGCGUUAAUCGGAAUUACUGGGCGUAAAGCGCACGCAGGCGGUCUGUCAAGUCGGAUGUGAAAUCCCCGGGCUCAACCUGGGAACUGCAUUCGAAACUGGCAGGCUAGAGUCUUGUAGAGGGGGGUAGAAUUCCAGGUGUAGCGGUGAAAUGCGUAGAGAUCUGGAGGAAUACCGGUGGCGAAGGCGGCCCCCUGGACAAAGACUGACGCUCAGGUGCGAAAGCGUGGGGAGCAAACAGGAUUAGAAACCCCGGUAGUCCC